AGUGAACGCUGGCGGUAGGCCUAACACAUGCAAGUCGAACGGCAGCACAGUAAGAGCUUGCUCUUACGGGUGGCGAGUGGCGGACGGGUGAGGAAUACAUCGGAAUCUACUUUUUCGUGGGGGAUAACGUAGGGAAACUUACGCUAAUACCGCAUACGACCUACGGGUGAAAGCAGGGGAUCUUCGGACCUUGCGCGAUUGAAUGAGCCGAUGUCGGAUUAGCUAGUUGGCGGGGUAAAGGCCCACCAAGGCGACGAUCCGUAGCUGGUCUGAGAGGAAGAUCAGCCACACUGGAACUGAGACACGGUCCAGACUCCUACGGGAGGCAGCAGUGGGGAAUAUUGGACGAUGGGCGCAAGCCUGAUCCAGCCAUACCGCGUGGGUGAAGAAGGCCUUCGGGUUGUAAAGCCCUUUUGUUGGGAAAGAAAAGCAGCAGGUUAAUACCCCGCUGUUCUGACGGUACCCAAAGAAUAAGCACCGGCUAACUUCGUG
This 492-nucleotide ribosomal RNA is filed under the name uncultured bacterium. RNAcentral's name for it is "partial 16S ribosomal RNA". It matches the Rfam family "Bacterial small subunit ribosomal RNA", at positions 29 to 507 of the family's 1533-position model. The record is from RNAcentral.